UACGGGAGGCAGCAGUGGGGAAUAUUGCACAAUUGGGCGCAAGCCUGAUGCAGCCAUGCCGCGUGUAUGAAGAAGGCCUUCGGGUUGUAAAGUACUUUCAGUCGUGAGGAAGGUGUUAAGGUUAAUAACCUUAGCAAUUGACGUUAGCGACAGAAGAAGCACCGGCUAACUCCGUGCCAGCAGCCGCGGUAAUACGGAGGGUGCGAGCGUUAAUCGGAAUUACUGGGCGUAAAGGGCACGCAGGCGGUUAAUUAAGUUGGAUGUGAAAUCCCCGGGCUUAACCUGGGAAUGGCAUUCAAGACUGGUUAGCUAGAGUCUUGUAAAGGGGGUAGAAUUCCAUGUGUAGCGGUGAAAUGCGUAGAGAUGUGGAGGAAUACCGGUGGCGAAGGCGGCCCCUGGACAAAGACUGACGCUCAUGUGCGAAAGCGUGGGGAGCAAAACAGGGAUUAGAUACC
RNAcentral lists this ribosomal RNA (455 nucleotides) under uncultured bacterium. RNAcentral describes it as "bacterial SSU rRNA". It matches the Rfam family "Bacterial small subunit ribosomal RNA", at positions 340 to 786 of the family's 1533-position model. The record is from RNAcentral.